This is an unclassified non-coding RNA of Nomascus leucogenys (northern white-cheeked gibbon), 314 nucleotides long. Its record names the gene 7SK. It matches the Rfam family "7SK RNA". Rfam says of the family: 7SK was discovered as an abundant small nuclear RNA in the mid-70s but a possible function has only recently been suggested. Two independent studies have found that 7SK RNA binds the CDK9/cyclin T complex (known as elongation factor P-TEFb). P-TEFb activates transcription by phosphorylating the C-terminal domain of RNA polymerase II. The record is from Ensembl. Lineage: Eukaryota; Metazoa; Chordata; Mammalia; Primates; Hylobatidae.
GGACGUGAGGGCAACCUGGCUGUGAUGUCUGGCACCCCACUGAUCACCAGGGCUAUUGGCUGAUCUGGCCAGCUGGGUGGGUGUCUACUUCCUCCCUCACUGCUGCAUGUGCAUCCGUCCUGAAGGUCUGCCCUGGGUCAAAGACGAUGACAACCUUCCCCCAUAGAGGAAGGUCCUUCCAUCACGGGCAGAAGAGAAGCUAUGCUCCCCUACUAGAACCUCCAAACAAGCCCGCAAGAAUGCUUCCUGUAGUACCCGGGACAUACGCUGUCUGUGAUUGUCUUAAGAUUCUGCUUACUCCUUGGCACACAUCU